This is an RNA transcript of Glycine soja, 1505 nucleotides long. It is a transcript of the gene named calcium-dependent protein kinase 18-like, with no coding region annotated. The transcript is spliced from 4 exons. NCBI's taxonomy places the organism in Eukaryota, Viridiplantae, Streptophyta, Magnoliopsida, Fabales, Fabaceae. The record is from RefSeq and is a predicted model, not a curated record.
CGGUGCUUCUGCACACCAUUACCAUAAUACUGAAAAUACCAAUCUAUAAUAUUACGCAGAUAAAUAUAAUAAUUCCCCUCACAUUUGCACAUUUCCCCAGAAAAAAUAAGAACUCCACUCUUUUCCUUUCGGUUCAUUUUUUUCUGCGAAUGUUCGCUACCAAUGCCGCGAGCAACCUCUUCUUCCCCGGCAAUCCUUCGUCCUUCCGGUGCCGCGCCGCCGCCGGAGACCUCUCCGCGGGCCCCUCCUUCUUCCAGUCCGUCGCUGGCGGCCUAAGAAUAGGCCAGUUUCCCGACGGCGCAGGACUCGUCGUGGAAGGACGGCGCGGCGGUGGAAACGAGCCGAUAAGGGUGAAGAAAUGGUCUCGGAAGAAUGAGAGUUACUUGGACAACGACACUGAGCCUCUUCCCCUUCCAAUGACGUAUCCCGAUUCCUCGCCCGUUUCGCAAGAAGAGAUUGAUAAGCGCCUCCAAUGCGAUCCCCAAAUUCAGGAUUGUAAAGAGGUGGUGUAUGAAUGGACUGGGAAGUGCCGUAGUUGCCAAGGAUCGGGAUAUGUGAGCUACUAUGGCAAGAGAGGGAAAGCGGUUACCUGCAAAUGCAUUCCUUGCAUGGGAAUUGAAUGUCAAGUUGGAGUAAUUUGCCUAAUGUCUGUUUUGCAGGUUACGUGCAGAAGAUAACAGCUCGCAAGGAUAUUGAUGUAAUGGAGGAUUUGGAGAAUGGAAAACCACCAUGAUGGUUGAUGCAUAAAAUGUCAAAGACAAGUUUCCUUGACUUCCAAUACAACCUCUCAAGGAGAAAAUACCUGAGGAAGCCAUCGCGCCUGUUCUCCCGGGACAGGCAGAACUCUGGGCUUAAGGGUGUGUUUCUUCAGCCUAAUGCUGAUGAGAUGAAGCAGGUGUUUGACAAAUUUGAUUCCAAUAAAGAUGGGAAAAUUUCUCAACAGGAGUACAAAGCCACCAUGAAGGCUCUAGGCAUGGGGGACUCGGUUCAUGAAGUGCCAAAUAUUUUCAGGGUGGUUGAUUUGGAUGGAGAUGGAUUCAUCAACUUCAAGGAAUUUAUGGAAGCUCAGAACAAGGGUGGUGGGGUUAGGACGAUGGAUAUACAUAGUGCAUUUAGGACGUUUGAUAGGAAUGGCGACGGUAGAAUAAGUGCUGAAGAAGUUAAAGAAACGCUAGGAAGGCUGGGAGAAAGGUGCAGCAUUGAGGACUGUCGGCGAAUGGUGAGAGCUGUGGACACUGACGGAGAUGGCAUGGUUGACAUGGACGAGUUCACAACCAUGAUGACACAGUCCCUGAGACAUGUUUGAAUGUUUAUGGCUAUCAUGUUUCUUGAGCUUGUAUUUAGGAUCACCUCAAUGAAAGCUAUGUGUGCUGUAUUUAGAUUUGUGCAUGUGUUAAAUAAACUGGAUUUUAAAAUCAGUGGAACAAUACAAUUGUACUGUUAAAACGGACAACUCUAUUGCUUGUAAUGAAUAAUACUAAUAUAAAAACUUUCUUGUGUUUAGA